RNAcentral lists this ribosomal RNA (495 nucleotides) under uncultured bacterium. RNAcentral's name for it is "partial 16S ribosomal RNA". It matches the Rfam family "Bacterial small subunit ribosomal RNA", at positions 28 to 507 of the family's 1533-position model. The record is from RNAcentral.
GACGAACGCUGGCGGCGUGCCUAAUACAUGCAAGUAGAACGCUGAAGGAGGAGCUGGCUCUUCUGGAUGAGUUGCGAACGGGUGAGUAACGCGUAGGUAACCUGCCUGGUAGCGGGGGAUAACUAUUGGAAACGAUAGCUAAUACCGCAUAAGAGUAGAUGUUGCAUGAAAUUUGCGUAAAAGGUGCAAUUGCAGCACUACCAGAUGGAGAUGCGUUGUAUUAGCUAGUUGGUGGGGGAACGGCUCACCAAGGCGACGAUACAUAGCCGACCUGAGAGGGUGCUCAGCCACACUGGGACUGGGACACGGCCCAGACUCCUACGGGAGGCCACAGUAGGGGAUCUUCGGCAAUGGACGGAAAUCUUACCGCUCAACGCCGCGUGAGUGAAGAAAGUUUUCGGAUCGUAAAGCUCUGUUGUAAGAGAAGAACGAGUGUGAGAGUGAAACGUUCACACUGUGACGGUAUCUUACCAGAAAGGGACGGCUAACUACGUG